CACGAAUUCACACGAGCUAACUAGAUUCACAUUUUAUGUAGCAAAAUAUAUAUUGAAGUGUAGUUAGGGGUGAAAGGCCGACAAGUACGAGGAUAUCUUGAUGUAAGUGAAAGAAAUUGAGUUUUAAAGGUAAUUAUAUAGCAAUAAGGUUAUAUAAGAGAUUGAAGAUUUAUUACUUUAUGUAGCAGGUGUAAAAGCCCGCAUGAUGUAAGACGAAUAUAUAUUUAAUAAGGCUUACUAAACUAACUUACAAAAGUCGAACUUUCAAUUUAAGUAUAAUGUUAAUAUGAGUACUCAAUAGGUAUUAAUAGUGAACUCGGCAAUAAAGCUUUCAACUGUUUAUCAAAAACAUAACCAUAUGUCACACAUAUGGCGUGUUCUGCUCAAUGACAUGUUAAAUAGCCGCAGUACCCUGACUGUGCAAAGGUAGCGUAAUCAUUUGACUCUUAAUUGGAGUCCUGCAUGAAAGAAUGUAUGGGGGCUUACUUUACCAUUAAUAUAUUCUGAAAUUGCUUAAAAGGUGCAAAAGCCUUUAGAUAAAUAAAAGACGAGAAGACCCUUGAAAUUUGUAUAGAAGUUUUGUUGGGGCAACAAAGUAGUAAAAACCUACUUCAUAGACACGAAAUGUAUUAGAAUGAGUAAAUUACUCUAGGGAUAACAGCAUAAUUCAUUGUGAGCUUGUGACCUCGAUGUUGGAUUAGGAUACUGCAGACCUAGAA
RNAcentral lists this ribosomal RNA (719 nucleotides) under Torresitrachia urvillei. RNAcentral describes it as "partial 16S ribosomal RNA". The stretch from base 297 to 534 matches the Rfam family "Archaeal large subunit ribosomal RNA", at positions 1787 to 2143 of the family's 2987-position model. Lineage: Eukaryota; Metazoa; Mollusca; Gastropoda; Stylommatophora; Camaenidae. The record is from RNAcentral.